Molecule: long non-coding RNA, 11127 nt
Filed under: Homo sapiens (human)
Lineage: Eukaryota; Metazoa; Chordata; Mammalia; Primates; Hominidae
Description: HSALNT0302601
Source: RNAcentral
ACACUCUUAGCACCCUACAAGCAGGUAUGUGCUUACCAGCAAACUAAAGCAAAUGGAAAUUAAGAAGCAUGAUCACCACCAGCAAGGUGCUGCUGAACUAUAAGCCUUCAGAUGGUCAGAUAAAGUACCUGAUGCUGAAAAACAGGAAAUUGAAUCAUGUCUCCAAAAUGUGCCUUUUGUCAUGCACUGUUACAGCUAUAUUUCUUGGAUGUGAAUCCUGCCAGAUUGUGGCAUGGCACUCAACUCCUCAAAGAAGCCAUUGAGUUCCAGUCAGGCACUGCGAGAAUUGCAGAAGAAAUCUCAAACUUGGCCCCUGCCUCCAAGAAGCUGACAAUGGCCUGACUAUUCCUUGUGCUCCAGACCAAUAUAUGCAGUUCUUGGAUUGGACUGAUUGAGAAGGAAGGGGAUCCUGAAUGUUACAAUAGCCAUAAGUAAGAAGACAGUGAUAAAGCUGGGGACAUUAAGCCUCUAAGUUUUGAAGACAGAUGGAUCCUGGAGAAUGACAGUGGAUAAUCAUAAACUUGAGCAAGUGAUGACUCUAACUGCAGCUGUUGUACUAGAUAUGGUUUUAUUGCUUGAGCAAGGUAACACAUUCCCUGGUAUUUCUCAUGCAGCUAUUGAUCUGUCAAACAGAUUUUUCUCAAUGCCUAUUAGUGAAGACCCCCAGAAGCAGUUUGCUUUCAACUGGCAAGGAUAGCAAUACACCUUCACUGUUCUACCUCAAAGGUAAAUAUCACAGUAGUUCAUUACAUUAUACCAUUAUGCUGAUUGGACCUAGCGAGCAAGAAGUAGCAACUACUCUACCACUUAUUGAUAAGACAUUUGCAUAUAAGAGGGUAGAAAAUAAAUCUGACAAAAAUUCAGGGGCCUUCUACCUCAGUGAAAUUUCUAGGGGUCCAGUGUUGUGGGGCAUGUUGUGAUGUCCCUUCCAAGGUGCAUCUGACCUCACCUACAACCAAGAAAGAGGCAUAAUGCCUGUUGGGCCUCUUUGGAUUUUGGAGGCAAUGUAUUUCUUAUUUGGGUGUGUUAUUCUCACUAUUUACUGAGUGCCUUUUUGUAAGAUAUCCCUGAAGGACAGUGGUGAAGGGAAAUCUGCCCAGUAAGAAGAAUACCUGGUUGUGCACUUUGCUUAGCAAGAAACAUGGCCAGAUGUACAACUAUGUACAAUGUGAAUGGCUGUAGCUAAUGGUUUAUCUGGAUGCUCAAGAGCUUAAGAGGAACAUGAUUAGAAAAUUGGUAACAAAUUUGGGGAGAGGUAUAUGAAUAGAUCUCUCUCAAUGGGCAAAAAUGUGUAAAAAUAUUUGUGUCUCAUAUGAAUGCUCAUCAAAGGGUGACCUCAGCAGAAGAGGAUUUUGAUAAUCAAGUGGAUAAGAUGACCUGUUCUACAGAUACCAGUCAGCCUCUUUCCCCAAACACCCCUGUCAUCACCCCGUGGGCUCAUGAACAAAGUGACCAUGAUGGCAGUAUGGGGGUAUGCACGGGCCCAGCAACAAGGGUUUCUACUUCCCAAGGGCAAGCCAACCGUGGUCACUACUAAGUGCCCAAUCUGCCAGCAGAGACCAACACCGAUUCCCCGAUAUGACACCUUUCCCCGAGUAAUCAGCCAGCUACCUGGUAGCAGGUUGGUUACACUGGACCUCUUUCUUCAUGGAAUGAGCAGUGUUUGGUCCUUACUGCAGUUAUCACUUACUCUGGAUCUGGAUUUUCCUCCUCUGCCUGCAUUGCUUCCAUCAAAACUACCAUCUUACAGAAUGCCUUAUCCACCCUCAUGGUAUCCCACAUAGCACUGCUUCUCAUCAAAGAAAUCUCUUCACAGCAAAUGAAGUUAGUCACCACCGGUGCCUUUCAUAUGAAGUAGCAGAAAAAGGGAAGGAAAGAAAACAGUUAAUAUCCAAACAUUGUUCUGUUCAAUUGGAAGCUGAGACUCCUUGGGGCUCCUAAUACCACUAGCAGGCAAGGUGUACUGGGCAAGGCCAUUGACCUCAGUUACCAAGGGUAAAUCAGGUUGCUGCAGCACAUAGUAGGGGCAAGGAAGACUGUGUCUGGGAGCCAGGGAUUUCGUGGUACACACUUCAGUAGUCCUAUGCCCAAAAAUACUGAUCAGUGGGAAAUUAUGGUAACCGAAUAAAGAUAAGAUCACUAAGAAUUUGUAUCCCAUAGGCAUAAGGUUCGAUUAACCCCACCAAGUAAAAAAUUCUGACCAGCCAAAGUUCUGGCAGAGGGCAAGGGAACAUGGAAUAGGUGGAACACAGAAUUAACAUAAUGAUUAUCAACAUAGGACAUAUGACCAGCUACAGAAGCAGGGACUACAGCAGCCCCCAAUUUAACAGAAUUGUGACGUAUGUUCCCUGGCAGAAGUCAUCCUCUCUUAGACAACAGGAUCUCCAAACCCACCCAUCCCAAGGUUUUAAGGAGAGGGAAUGGCUAAUUAAUUGUUUAUUAUUAUUAUUAGGUAUUUAUUGUUAUGAUGAUUCUUAGGUAUAAUAGUGAAAGAGGCAAUUUCUACCUCCACCCCUCAAACAUGAAAACUGCCUGUAUUGCCUGAUGGAUAAACAGCCUCCUCCUCUAUAAUGUUCUUUCCUCAAUCUUUGCAUUGGUUUGUUUCUAGACUCAGCUCAAAUAUGAUCUCUUCAAAGUAGCCUUCCAUGACCACCUGUCAUCUAAAACAAUGCACUGUCUCCAUCCCUACAAUCAUUAUCUUGCUGCAUAUUUUAUUUCCUUCCCAGUAUUUCACAGGCUCUGAAAUUAUCUUUUUAUUUCCUUGUCUAUCCCCUUUCUUCCCCCACUCCACAAAGCCUGUGACUUUGUCUUAUUUCUUCAGUACUUAGAACAGUUCCUGGUACAUAGAAGAAGCUCACAAAAUAUUUCUCAAUAACAUAAGGACUUCUGGCCUCCAAGAAUAUAAGGCAAGAGAAAACCAUGUACCAAAGUUCAAGUAUGAGCCCUUCAAGUAUGAUUCCUGCAGAGGGGACAAUUCUUUUGCUACAAGGAGAAACUCAAGAGGAUAGGUGUAGAACUGACAACUAUUCUAAAAUAUUCUGUAAUUAUCUGUAUUUUCUAUCUUAAAGUGACAAUGAUGGAAUAGGAUUCAGAAGGGAAAUAUUUAAGCAUGCUGCUUUGACUUAAUUAUAGGCACAAAAUGAAAAUUUGGAUUUUUGAGAGAAAGAACACUAGAAGCGGCCCAUACUGACUCUAGUGUAGCCCCUCUUUGAAAGAGGCAAAAUGAAAUUUGGAAUGUGUAGUUUCGGGGUGCUGCGUUGGAAGGACUGUAAAGAAAUUUGUGAGGGCUGUGAGGACAACUGUGUCUUAUUCUCUAUAUCAUGCCAUCACUCAGCAAAGCUCACAGCAUUAAGGAUGAGAGGUGGAAGCAUUUGAGGAACUUUAUAAAAUGUGUUUGCAUCCACAUCGCAGAAGUAAAGCUGGGCUACACCCAGCAACUAAUUUCCACAGUGGAAAAUGCACCAUCUGAGGUGCAUUUCAUUUCCUGGGAGGCAAAUGACAAACCACAAUGUAAUUUCUCACACGUUUGACCGAAGAAUCCCAAUACUGUUGUGUUCAUCUGGACCAGAGGCACAGGAUGGGCAUGUCUGUUCCCCAUUACUGCCUCACUGAACUGGAUGGAGGAACAACUUGGGAAUGGGGACCAUGGCCCAUGUCAUGUCAAUUACAGAUAGCAAACCUCCCACACAAGUACCCUAGUUUAUAAAUAAUAGGCCCUCUGAGAACCCACAUGACAUCCUAAGUGCUGGAUGGUACAUCUGAAAGCACUGAGAGAGCUGAAAAUCACAGACAGCCAAGUAAGUCCCUGCUGAAUACAUAUCUAAGGAGCUUUGCAUGCAUUGUUUAUUCCAGCAACUUUAUGGAAUAAAUUACGUACAACAAAUUAGUUUCAGAUGGUAGGAUAUGAAGAGCUGAUGUGCUGUAUAAAGGAAGGUGAACUCCCACUUUUGACCCAACCACUUCCCAUCUCGGGCAUCUCAGACUCAGAAUUCAGAUGCAAUUCAUUUCUGAAAUGCAGUGGAGAUCAGAAAGUUAAUAAGUGAUGAGGUUUAGAGAUUUCAAAAAGAAAUUUAUGAGUAUUGUUAACUCAUUAUAUUAUCCUAUGAUUUCUGGUUGUUAUAUGUGAAACCAUAGGUAAAAUUGAACCCAUCCUUCCUUCAUUCCUUCAUUAUGCACAGCAAGCAAAAAUAAAUGUCUUCCUGACAUUUCCAACCUGCACAGAAAUUCCAUAAUAGAUUCAACUCAACACACAUUUAAAACCUCACUGCCUACCAUACUGGGAUGUCAUCAAAUUACUGAAAGAGACAUAAUGUCUUUCUCUAUUCACCCUGAAGUCAUAAAUUAUUUUUUAAAUUAACACAGUAAAAUUGACUUAUUUUGGUGUAUAGUUUUGUGAAUCUUACUACAUGUAUAGAUUCAUGGAACCAACACUGCAGUCAGGGUAAUAAUUCUAGCACCCCCAAAAUUGCCUAACAUUAUUACUACUUUACAGUCCCUCUCCUACUUUAAGCACUAGCAAACCACUGGUCUGUCCUCUGUCACUAUAGUUUUGUCUUGUCAAGAAUGUCACAUAACUUUUGUCAUGUAACUUUUCACUCAGCAAAAUGCCUUUGAGAUUCAUCUAAGUUGCUCCAUGUCUCAAUAAUCUGUUCCUUUUUAUUGCUAGGUGAUACUCUGUUAUAUGGAUAUACCACAGUUUGUUUAUCCAUUCACCCUUUGGAGGACACGUAGUUAUUUUCAGUUUUUAACAAUUACAAAUAGAGCUGCUGUAAACAUUUAUGUAUGAGUUAUGUUGUGAACAUAACUUUUCAUUCUCUUGGGUAAAUACCUAGAAGUGGGAUUGCUGGGUCACAUGCUACACGUAUGUCUAUAAGAAAUUGCCAGACUUUUUACAGAGUGGCUAUACAUAAUGUCUUUUUGAUAAGUAAAAAUAUAAAAACUAUUAAAUGACCCCCGACAGCUUGUUUACUUGUGUUGAGGGGAUUCCGAUAGUUAUUCACCAUGAUAAAAUAUUGUUCUUAAAAUAAUCAGAGGCAUUUGACUUCAUUUCUUUCUUUUUACUUUUAAAGCUUCAAUUAAGUCUUUCAUAUUUUAAUGUGAUUUUUAAAACAAAAUUAGGUGCUUAACAUCGUAGAAGCAUAAGGCCUUGAGGAAGCUACUUAUACAUGAAGAGAUUUUAGUCAGAGAGAACUAGGAGAAAAUUUCAUCAUAGCAAUAUAACCCAGUGUCACAUGUAUCAAGUCCAAUUUUCAAUUCAUAAAUAAGCCUCCCCCUCCCUUCCUCCAAAAACGUCCACCCCAAGCUAAUUACAGAAGAAAAAGGAACAUGAACACCAGCCAGAAAAGAUUCACAGUUGCCACUCUUUAGUUGCUACUUUAAUGGGAAACACAUGUGCAAGAUACCACCCAGGAGACAACUGACCAAUGUGCUCUGAAAAAUGGAAUGUCACAAAAAUGAGCCACACAAGAUGGCUUACUCUAUUGAAUAGGCUGAACACAUAAAAAUGUUUGAUACCAUUUUGUUCUUAUAUAAAUAUGGGGAGGUCCUGAGAUGAGAUGCUGAGACAGAAAUUAAUUUGUAGCAACAAAGUUGAAAGGCAAUGAUUUAAAUUAGCCCUCGCUUCUUAUCUCAUCCACAUGCCCCACAAUAGUUGACCAUCAUAUUUGGAAAGUACUUAGCAAAGUUUACAUGAGGAGAAAUCCUGCAAAGAAAUUGGAAGAAACGACAGAGUGGCGAUUGUUCUUAUUAAAUAACAACACUAACACUCAUUAGCUACCAUCACUACAAGUAGCCAGUUCUGUUCUGAGUGCUGUAUGCACAGCAUCUCAUUAUAUCCAUAAUUUACAGGGUAGAAUUAUCUCCACUGUAUUAGUCAGCUAGAAUUGCCAUAAAAAAAUACCAUAGACUGAGUGGCUUAAACAACAGAAAUUUAUUUCUCAUGGUUUUGGAAGCCAGAAAGUAUGAGAUCAAGGUGCCAGCUGAUUUGGUUCCUGGUAAGGGUUCUCUUCCCGGCUUGCAAACGACCACCUCCUCGCUGUGUCCUCACAUGGUGGAGGGGUGGGGGUGGUACGGAGAGAGAUAGGGCGAAAGGGAGAGUGACAGAGCUCUCAGGUGUUUCUUCUGAUAAGGGCACUAAUCCCAUCAUGAGGUCCCCAUCCUCAUGACUUCAUUUAACCCCAAUUAUCUCCUAAAGGCCUCAUUUCAAAAUACCAAUACAGUAGGCUUUAGGGCUUCCACUCAUGAAUUGUCAGGGAGAGUCAGGGAGGAACAGUUAAGUUAAUAGCAUCCACUUUACAAAUAAAUGAUGUUUCAAGAGAACAAGGAGUUCACAACAGCUCACUCUGUUGGCAAUCAGCAGAGUUUGAACUUGAACCCAAGAGUAUCAGACUCUAAGAGAAAAAUAUCUACUAUUUAUUGACUGCCCACUAAGUGUCAGGUGUAUCUAUACAACAUCUCUAUUCUCUAUGGGAAAUCAAGUUUUUCCCAUUAUUCUUCCGAGUUGUAGAUAUGGAAACUCUAGCCCCAAAUACUUAACCAGCUAUUCACAACCUACCAUCUAAGCGUAACAUACUGCAUAAAAUUUAUCCUAGUGCUUAUCAAAGUGAGGCCCCCAUCAUUACCUGGGAGCUAAUUAGAAAUGCACAUUUUGGGACCAAACAGCAGACCUACCUAAUCAGGAACUCUAUGGUGGUGUCCACAAUCUGUGUGUUAACAUACCUUCUAGGUAAAUCUGAUCCAUGAUAAAUUUUGAGAACCACUCGUUUGUUCUAUAAAUUUAUUAAAAUAACUAGUACUUUCAAAACUCGAUAAUAAGUGGUAUAUCCAGAAUUCAUAUACAGGUCUGUUUGGUUCUAAAGCCUGUGGCUUUCUGCUAUACUAUACUUCUUCCAUCCCAGCUUUACAAAGGGAAGAUCUGUGAUUGCAGAGCCCAGUUCUGAAUUCUGCUUUGCUGCUGUAAUUCCGAUCAGUUCUCCUACCUAUAAAAAUGUGAUACAGGGAAAUGUCCAAGGAUAAUCCCUGAGAAUUCAUAACGCUGCUUAAUACUAACCAAGAAACACCUUUGGUUCAAACUAGAAACCAAGCUUUGUGAAACUUUUAUUUGGGCCGGACAAUUUUGUGUUCCAUUUAGUGUAAAUGAGAAACAAUCCAGUAUACGGAAACAGUAAGUAUGGAACAAAGUUACCUCUUUUAAAAAGAAAAAAAAUAAUUUUAUCCCUCUUUGACUGUUUUUAAUCAUGUUUAAUCCAUCUAAUUGAUCAUUGCUUUAUCUACAUGUUUUCGCUGUAUAAUUACACCAUUUUCUCCCUCCAAGGAACAAGACCAUAUUAUAUCCCUUUAUACAAUCUUGAUAAUUUACACAAAGGAAUAAAAAUCUGCUUAUAAUAAAAUGGAGAUUUCUAUUUCUAAUUUUUGGAGUGGUAAAUGAAGGUAUCUGAUCUCACACCAAGUGCCUUUUAAAAUCAUUCGCAAAAUAAAAGCACUUUGAAAAGGGUUAUUUCCAGUGCAAAUAUAGUCACCUGCUCUUGUGAUCAAUAAACCUCUAAAACAUUAUACUAAUAUUUACAGUAUUAAUGAACAUGUGCACAAAGCCUUUUUACACGUGGUAAAACUCAUUUAAUCAUCACACACAUGUGAGGUAGCUUUUGGGAUUAUUCCCAUUUCACAGAUGAGGAAAAUGAGAAUCAGGGAGGGUAAGUAACUUGCCAGAGCUCCUUCAGCCAGGAAGUACAGGACUCUAGAUAUUAAGCUUAUUAAAGAGCUCUUGCUGAACAUUGAUUCAGACACUGACACUUGGCUCUGGAUGGAUGGGCUCAGUGUUGCUCUGCAUCUGGAUUACUUCCAAAGGUCCAUCUGUGAGCCUGCCUGACCCCCGGGAUGGGGCGGCGCAGCCUUUGCAGCCUUGGCACUCCAUCUGGAGAGACUGAAAGGGAACAGCAAGGUGGUGACUCAGUGGCCUUGACUGUCCCUCAGUCUCCUGGGAGACAGAGAGCAAAGUGAUAAAGUGACAGAGUGGGAACUGUAGUUCUCGUUUCUCUAUUUGUUUUCCACUUGAUUCUUAAAAACAGACCUAUUAAUCAUUUAGUUCAUGACUGGUAAUUCCACUGACUCCCAACACAUUUGAGUCAAUGAAGCAAAAACUAGAAAGUUGUGUGUUCAAACUUCUCAGAUGGGAGAAGAAUUAAAAUCCUUUGAAAACAUUUCACCGGCCAGCAGAAAGACUCACAUGUUUUUCUGCUUCAGAGUUGUAGAUGGAUGUGACUUAAGCCCUAACUGGGAAAAACUUUGUGUGAUUUAUAACAGCAGAUAGAUAUUCUGAGUAAGCUUCUCAUACUCUUUUAUUCCACCUACCAAAAACAAAAGCUGUUUUCAGCAGAGCCCAAUGAGGUGAAAAGGGCUUUCCAAGGAAACUGUUGCGUGUGCUUCUUGAUUCUGUCCUGAUUUGGGAAGUUCAUCUAAGCUGAAAUUACUUUGUGGAGCUGACAGGAAGUUUGUCCAAUGACUUUUGCCUUUCACAGCCCUGCUCUCCUUAUCUCUACAGACACGCUUCCCACUUUCUUUCUUUUCUGGCUCCCUUCCUCCUUCCCUUCACACACACCUUCACACCUCCCAUCUACUCUGAUUGUAUUAAUUGAUACCAUAAAGAACACUGUUAUAAAGGGAGGCACAAGUGUUGUAAUAUUUGAGGGGCUUUUAGUGCAGGAAUUAAAGGCUAAUACUUGGCCUGGCCAGACCUAUCAUUGCAUGCUAUGUCCAGACUCUCCAAAACUGUGAGAGCCUACUUUGAGUCCCUCUUUCAUAUCUUUGUAGCAUUUGAGUUCACUGAAUAUGUUGGGAGCUUCAGAUAGAAAAGGACCCUAUCCCUCCCCUCAGGGAGCUGAUGCUUGCCCAGCAGGGACAGUAGGUUAAUGAGGAGCAAAGCUCUCCCUAGUUAAUCUGGCUCCAAGUGUAGUGUGAUGGGUCCCCUACCAGGUUACUUAAGGGUAUAUGUCCACUGCCUGAACCUUAAAGGCCAGGUGGUGAGCUAAGGCUGUCGUGCCCAGCCGAGGAGCAGGUGUCUCUGAGAACACAAACAUACCAAGGAAAACAGUCCCAUCACACAGGCACAGUAGGCAAAGAGCCAAAUAAUUAGCUUAAAUGAGAGAUGGGAAGUGGGAUGAAUCUCUAGAGCUGUCCUGCUGCUGCCCAGGAGUGCUCUGUAAGUAAGUCUUAAUAAACCCAUCUACUCACCAAGCUGGACUUGUCCAAAACAUUUUGGUCUCCUGAUACCUUCCCAGUUUGGGGGGUGGGUGGUGGGGAGGAAACAUUACAGUCCUAAGUUUUUCUCAUAACACCAAGUGGAUUCAUUUAGAAGGCAAUUUCCUAGCAAACAUCAAAUUCACAGCUCUCCCUGGAUCAAGAGUGGUAAGCUUUCUAGUAAAAUGAUCUGUUUGGAAUCAGAUCUACUUAAGUCUAAAUCCCUUUUCUGCCUUGGACAAGUCACUGAAUCUCAUUGAGCCUCAGUUCUCUCUACUAUAAAAUGCAAAUGACAUCUAACUCAAGACUCUACAUGAGGAUUAAAUGAGGAAAUGUUAUACAAAGCACAUGGCAUAAUUCCUGGCAAACAGGAGAUACUCAAUAAAGGGUAGUUUCCCUUCUUCUUCCUUCUCUCUUCCCAGACCUCACAAGAAGAGGAGUGUGGCCUCUUAGUGAGAUGAUAUAAAAGAGACUCUAACAAUAUUAAACACUUCAGUAGCACCUACUACAUCCCAGGCACUAUUCUAAGCACAUCUGUAUUUCAGCUCAUAUAAGUCUUCCCUAAAACCCAAUAAGAUAAGAGCUAUUAUCAUCUCUACUUCAUAAAUGAGAUAGCAGGUAACUUUCUGAAGUCACACAGUUAGAAUGUAUGUGAUGCGGCUAUGAUUUGAUCCCAGUUUAUCUAGCUCUUAACUAUCACAUUAUUAGGAAACAGAUAGUGAGAGAGGUGCUAACUGUAUCUGGAACUCAAGUACACAAAACAAGCAGUCCUCAGACAAUGAGCUCUGUUUGAUUUGCACAGUGUUUUAAAAAUCAAGUCUAUAUUUCUGACUGCUCUCAAAAAAGUUGGAAGAUCUGGCACUAGGCAGCUCACAUACUGAUGUGGCAACAAGCCUUUGACUGGUGGCUGCUGUCUGGACUGAGGUCCCCAGUUCACCAGUCUCCAGUACUCACAGUCGUAUUACAGGGCCGGCUUCACUUUUGACCUGCACAUACAUUUGAGCUUGUCGUCCAGAAUUAGGUAAUGAUGCUAAACCGUAAAGACACAAGAAUCGUGUUCAAUAACGUGCACCCAAUGGUUAAAAUGUUUGAAUUAAAUGAAGGAAAAAAAUGAACGUAGGAAAGAGGUCUGCGUGAAAAGCAAUCAACAACCAGGUUCAAACACAACCACGCAGAAAAUGCCUGGAUAAGCCUUUGAGCCCUAUGUGCAGAAAUUGUAAACUCCUGCUCUUUUCCAUAUCUCCACACCUAAAUAAAAACCUGAAAAUGCAAGUUUCCUUACAGUCCAUGGAGCAAAGACUCUUUUGCCUUCAAUGUUAAAUGUGUUCCUCUUUGGCAUAGCUAAAAGAGGGAGUUUAAAUUUUCAUGUACUACUUAACCCAAACAAUAUUUUUUUCUCUCUCUUUUUUUUUUUUAGCUCUUUAGGCCUUAAUGAUUGACAUGAUCUUGGAAAACAGGUAUGUAGCAAAACUCUCCUAGAAACCUGAAAGAUGUGGCAAGAAGAAAACAUGGAGCCUUUUCUGAACAAGCCUAUGAGAGAAGAAGAAUCACUUCAAUUUAUUAAGUGUGGAUUCUGGGGCUAAAGAACUUACCUACAACCACACAGCCAGCAAAUUACUGACCCAGCAUAUUCUGAACCCAGGUCUUUAUUCUUUCCAAAACUUCACAGCACCUUCCUCAGAGCAUCUCUACAUGAAAAUCUGUAUAAAGAAGUGAUCUGUGGUGUCGCCAUUUGUAUCAAAAUGGUAUCACAAACUUAUUUAAAAGGCUUCAUCUAAAAGUCUUCAGAGUUUUGGCCAGGGAAGAGCUCUAAUAUCACACAUUAAUAACCUUACCUUUGUAACAUGUAAAUUGUUUUUUGUUUUAACAUCUCAGUUUCAUUAAACUGAGACC